GAGUUUGAUCAUGGCUCAGGAUGAACGCUGGCGGCGUGCCUAACACAUGCAAGUCGAACGAAGCAUAUAGAAGGAAGUUUUCGGAUGGAAUUUUAUAUGACUUAGUGGCGGACGGGUGAGUAACGCGUGGAUAAUCUGCCUUACACAGCGGGAUAACAAGUGGAAACAGUUGCUAAUACCGCAUAAGCACACAGUAUCGCAUGAUACAGGGUGAAAAGAUUUAUCGGUGUAAGAUGAGUCCGCGUCCCGUUAGCUAGUUGGUGAGGUAAAAGCUUACCAAGGCGACGAUGGGUAGCCGGCCUGAGAGGGUGACCGGCCACAUUGGGACUGAGACACGGCCCAGACUCCUACGGGAGGCAGCAGUGGGGGAUAUUGCACAAUGGGCGAAAGCCUGAUGCAGCGACGCCGCGUGAAGGAUGAAGUAUUUCGGUA
RNAcentral lists this ribosomal RNA (432 nucleotides) under Lachnospiraceae bacterium canine oral taxon 024. Its description in RNAcentral is "bacterial SSU rRNA". It matches the Rfam family "Bacterial small subunit ribosomal RNA", at positions 9 to 423 of the family's 1533-position model. Lineage: Bacteria; Bacillati; Bacillota; Clostridia; Lachnospirales; Lachnospiraceae. The record is from RNAcentral.